Molecule: ribosomal RNA, 253 nt
Filed under: uncultured bacterium
Lineage: Bacteria
Description: partial 16S ribosomal RNA
Rfam family: Bacterial small subunit ribosomal RNA
Source: RNAcentral
UACGUAGGGUGCAAGCGUUAAUCGGAAUUACUGGGCGUAAAGCGUGCGCAGGCGACUAUGCAAGACAGAUGUGAAAUCCCCGGGCUCAACCUGGGAACUGCAUUUGUGACUGCAUGGCUGGAGUACGGCAGAGGGGGAUGGAAUUCCGCGUGUAGCAGUGAAAUGCGUAGAUAUGCGGAGGAACACCGAUGGCGAAGGCAAUCCCCUGGGCCUGUACUGACGCUGAGAAGCGAAAGCAUGGGGAGCGAACAGG